Long non-coding RNA from Conger conger (European conger), 1141 nucleotides. RefSeq lists it as uncharacterized. The record is from RefSeq and is a predicted model, not a curated record. NCBI's taxonomy places the organism in Eukaryota, Metazoa, Chordata, Actinopteri, Anguilliformes, Congridae. The transcript has 3 exons.
AAAAUACAAACACAAAUAAAUAUAAACUUUGGACAAUUCCACUUCCUCCGUAAAAGAUCCACCACCACAGACAACAUGUGAACAGCUCUGUCCUAACAAGCUGCUGAUGCUGCCUCCACCAGCCUGUGGCCCUAUAUAAGCCCUGCUUCAGCUAAAAAGGUGAAGGAAAAAUGGUUGAACAUGCUAUUUGAAUGCUGGAGUUUUGAGACCAAGAACGGCAUCUACAAGAAUUUCUUAAAGACACUGCGCUCUGCUCCAGGAUAUAAUGGCAAUGCUUCUUUCACAAUAGAGGAUGUGCGUGAUCCAGUGGGUGGCAGUAUGGCCAUAUAGGCAUAACCAGGCAAUACAAACCAAAUAAGACAAAGAAUUAGAGGGGAAAGGUGCAAGUUUUUGAGUUUGUUUGGAUUGUGUGGUUUAUGACUUCUAAUUGCAGUGGUGGUAGGAGGAAAGAAGGAUGGAACGGUAUUGGAAGCAAACCGUGUUUUUAGUGACUUUGGGAAGGAGUUGUGAAAGGAAGUGAAAACAGUGGGUGUAAUUAAAAGAGGAAUUGUAAUUGUGGAAUGCCAGUCAAAGAAACCAAGGCAUAGAGAUAUAAAAAAUCAAGAUUCAGCAUUACAAAGGUAGCCUGUUUUCCCAAGGAUGAAAGGGCACCUGUGAAGAGGCUGGUUAGUCGAGGCGGAUAGUUUCAUGGAGAGUUACCUCAAAUGGUGUGUUUUGAUUGGUAGUUACAGGGUGAGGGCAUCUAAGGUUCCAAUGAGGUGUUAUUGGUGUCAAUAUUAUAAACAUGUGGCAACAGUGUGUCUAACAAGGGUGCACAGGUAUAUAAGGUAUGGGGAAAGAAGGGUGUUGGCUGUCUAAAGGUCAAGCUGUAUGUUUUCACUGUGGAGGAAAUCAUGAAGUGUGAGAGAGGGAAGAUGGAAAUUGAGAUGGAACGGACAUGAGUAGGGGGAAAUUUUACAUUUUGGCAGUGAAGAGAGUGAGGGCAAGAAAGGGAAUAGUGAGGAAAGAAGAGGAUAGAGCUGGUAAAUGAGGGAAUAUGAUGGAUCAACAAACCAAUGUUCAAUAAAAGCAAAAAACCUCAAUCUAAUCGGCCUGUUGUCACUUGGCCAUGACACCGGCCUGCACACCUUUUGUAGUUUUA